RNAcentral lists this ribosomal RNA (253 nucleotides) under uncultured bacterium. RNAcentral describes it as "partial 16S ribosomal RNA". It matches the Rfam family "Bacterial small subunit ribosomal RNA", at positions 524 to 776 of the family's 1533-position model. The record is from RNAcentral.
UGCGGAGGGAGCUAUCGUUGUUCGGAAUUACUGGGCGUAAAGCGCACGUAGGCGGCUUUUUAAGUCAGGGGUGAAAUCCCGGGGCUCAACCUCGGAACUGCCCUUGAAACUGGGAAGCUAGAAUCUUGGAGAGGCGAGUGGAAUUCCGAGUGUAGAGGUGAAAUUCGUAGAUAUUCGGAAGAACACCAGUGGCGAAGGCGACUCGCUGGACAAGUAUUGACGCUGAGGUGCGAAAGCGUGGGGAGAAAACAGG